This is a long non-coding RNA of Pecten maximus, 3845 nucleotides long. RefSeq lists it as uncharacterized. NCBI's taxonomy places the organism in Eukaryota, Metazoa, Mollusca, Bivalvia, Pectinida, Pectinidae. The record is from RefSeq and is a predicted model, not a curated record. The transcript is spliced from 5 exons.
UGUGUUUGUAAAUCCUGCCAACUGAAUGCACACACACGCUUACGCACCAACAACUGAAUGCACUUGAGCAAGUGAAUGCCGAUUUUCCGGCAUUCACUUGACAUUCUUUUUUUUCCGGUCUAAAAUGAUGUUUUUUAUCAUAUAUGUGAAAAUUGUGACAUGUUUCAGUUGGCAGGAUUUUCGUGUAAUGUGUGUUGCAGUUGUGUGAAAAUUUUUGCAUCGCGCGGUUUUUCAACACACACACGUCAACCAAUGCGCAUGCUCGUUUUCAACCGGAAGCACAUACGGGAGGAAGGUGACUUUUCAGGCACAGACAUGAAGAGAUUGCGGACGCGUUGCCAGAGAAUGGCUUCAAAGAAAAAUGGAUACUCCAUGAUUUCAGAAAGAAAUUUAUGCAGACAAAGGGCGAGGUGUAAAAACAAUCAAUUAAAGGCGGCAUGGCGACCUCCUUCUCCCUUACCAUGAAUCUAUGAUUUCAAAAGAAAAAUGGGACAGAAGGGAAUAGCAAAGAAGCUCUGGAUUUAGUCGGGGUUUUUUUUGACUGAAGGAAACAGUUCUGUGUGGAUGCAACCGAAGAAAAUGAAUAAUUGGGAGACUGGUAAACCUGGUGAUGUAUGGCAAACAUUCCAAGCAAAACAUGAAAUGUGUUGAUGGCCACCUAUGUCACUUUACAACAAGGCUAAAUAUGGAGGGCAAGGCUACAGCGCAAGUCCUUUGUCAGAAGGUCAUGGACAAUUCAGGAAAAGGCUGUAGUACAACAGCAACUAUAAGGAAAAUCUUUUGCUGAAAAUGUUACGAGGGAAGGCUAAUUGUUAAGAGGUCCUCCGAAAAGAACCAGUGUUGCAUGGCAGAACCUGGAAACAAACUAAGGACCUCAUCUGGAACUGUAAUAUAAGAAGACAGCCAAGAAGAAUUUGCUUGUAUCAGAUCAGGCUGUUAGUGAGACUAUAUGAUAUUGCUGCCUAUUGAUUGUGUGUAUCCAAUAUGGUUGUCGGUUGACAGUAUAUCAGAUGUGACUAUCAGUUGACUGUGUGUAUCAGAUAUGGUUGUCAGUUGACAAUGUGUAUCAGAUAUGGCUGUCAGUUGAUAGUGUGUAUCGGAUAUGGCUGUCAGUUUACAGUGUAUAUAAGAUGUGGGUGUCAGUACAGUGUGUAUCAGAUAUGGCUGUCAGCUGGCUAUCAGAUGUGGCUGUCAGUUGACAAUGUGUAUCAGAUAUGGCUGUCGGUUGAUAGUGUGUAUCGGAUUUGGCUGUCAGUUGACAAUGCGUAUCAGAUAUGGCUGUCAGUUGACUGUGUGUAUCGAUUAUGGCUGUCAGUUGACAUUGUGUAUCAUAUAUGGCUGUCGGUUGAUAGUGUGUAUCGGAUAUGGCUGUAAGUUGACAAUGCGUAUCGGAUAUGGCUGUCAGUUGACAGUGUGUGUCAGAUAUAGCUGUCAGUAAGGUGUGUAUAAGAUAUGGCUGUCAUGAUCAGUUGACAAUGUGUAUCAGAUAUGGCUUUCAGUAAAGUGUAUAUCAAGUAUGGCUGUCAAUAAAGUGUGUAUAAGGUAUGGCUGUCAGUUGACAAUGUGUAUUGCAUAUGGCUGUCAGUUUACAAUGUGUAACAGAUACUGUGUUAGUAUAAGAUGUAGGUGUCAGUUGACAGUGUGUAUUAGAUAUGGCUGUCAGUUGAUAGUGUGUAUCAGAUAUGGCUGUCAGUAGUGUGUAUACGAUAUGACUGUCAGUUGCAUUGUGUAUCCGAUGUGACAGUGACAGUGUGUAUCAGAUACUGAAUCAGUAAAGUGUCUAUCAGAUAUUGCUGUCAGUUGGCAGUGUGUAUAAAAUAUGGCUGUCAGUAAAGUGUGUAUCAGAUAUGGCUGUCAGUUGACUAUAUCACAUGUGCCUGUCAGUUGACAGCGGUAUCAGAUACUGUGUCAAUAAAGUGUGUAUCAGAUAUGACUGUCAGUUGCCUAUAUCAGAUAUGGCUGUCAGUUGACAGUGUGUAUCAGAUACUAUGUCAGUAAAGAGUGUAUAAGAUAUGGCUCUCAGUACAGUGUGUAUAAGGUAUGGCUGUCAGUUGACUAUAUCACAAGUGGCUGUCAGUUAACAGUGUGUAUAAGAUAUAUAUAUAUAUAUAUAUGGAUGUCAGUUGACUAUCAGAUGUGGCUGUCAGUUGACAGUGUAUCAGAUGUGGCUGUCAGUUGACAAUGUCUAUCGGAUAUAGCUGUCAUUUUACAAUGUGAAUCAGAUAUUGUGUAAGUAAAGUGUGUAUAAGAUAUGAGUGUCAGUUGACAGUAUAAGAUAUGAGUGUCAGUUGACUAUAUCACAUGUGCCUGUCAGUUGACAGUGUAUCAGAUAUUGCUGUCAGUUGAAAGUGUGUAUUAAAUAUGGCUGUCAGUUGACUAUAUAAUGUAUCAAUGUCAGUUGACUAUUUCUGAUAUGGCUGUAAGUUGACAGUGUGUAUGAGAUGUGGCUGUCAGUUGAUAGUGUGUAGCAGAUAUGGCCGUCAGUUGACAGUGUGUAUCGGAUAUGGCUGUCAGUUGACAGUGUGUAUCGGAUGUGGCUGUCAGUUGACAGUGUGUAUCGGAUAUGGCUGUCAGUUGACAGUGUUUAUCAGAUACUGUGUCAGUAAAGUGUGUAAAAGAUGUGGGUGUCAGUUGACAGUGUGUAUAAGGUAUGGCUGUCAGUUGACUAUAUCAGAUGUGGCUUUCAGUUGACAGUGUAUCAGAUAUAGCUGCCAGUUGAAAGGUUGUAUUAGAUAUGGCUGUCAACUAAUGUAUUGUUGUCAGUUGACUAUUUCAGAUAUGGCUGUCAGUUGACAGUGUGUAGCAGAUAUGGCUGUCAGUUGAUAGUGUGUAGUAGAUAUGGCUGUCAGUUGAUAGUGUGUAGUAGAUAUGGCUGUCAGUUGAUAGUGUGUAGUAGAUAUGGCUGUUAAUUGACAAUGUUUAUCAGAUACUGUGUCAGUAAAGUGUGUAAAAGAUGUGGGUGUCAGUUGACUUUAUCAGAUGUGGCUUUCAGUUGACAGUGUGUAUCAGAUAUAGCUGCCAGUUGAAAGGUUGUAUUAGAUAUGGCUGUCAGUUGACUAUAUAAUGUAUUGUUGUCAGUUGACUAUUUCAGAUAUGGCUGUCAGUUGACAGUGUGUAGCAGAUAUGGCCGUCAGUUGAUAGUGUGUAUCGGAUAUGGCUGUCAGUACAGUGUGUAUAAGAUAUGGAUGUCAGUUGCCUAUAUCAGUUGUGGCUGUCAGUUGACAGUAUAAGAUAUGGCUGUCAGUUGACUAUAUCACAUGUGGCUAUCAGCUGAGAGUAUAAGAUAUAGAUGUCAGUUGACUAUAUCAGAUGUGGCUGUCAGUUGAUGUCAGUUGACUAUAUCAGAUAUGGCUGUCAGUUGACAGUGUAUCAGAUAUGGCUGUCGGUUGACUGUGUAUAAGCUGUGGGCCUCAGUUUACAGUGUGUAUUAGAUAUGGUUGUCAGUACAGUGUGAAUAAGAUAUGGCUGUCGGUUGACAGUGUGUAUAUGAUUAAGAUAUGGCUGAAAGUUGACAGUUUGUAUCAGAUAUGGCUGUCAGUAAGCUGUGUAUCAGAUAUGGCUGUCAGUUGACGGUUUGUAUAAGUUAUGGCCGUCAGUAAAGAGUGUAUUAGAUAUUGCUGUCAGUUGAAAGUGUCUAUUAGAUAUGGCUGUCAGUUGACUAUAUAAUAUAUCAAUGUCAGUUGAAUAUUUCAGAUAUGGCUGUCGGUUGACAAUGUUUAUCAGAUACGGCUGUCAGUUGAAAGUGUAUAUGAGAUAUGGCUGUCAGUAAAGUGUGUAUCAUUUAUGGCUGUUAAUUGACAAUGUGUAUAAUAUAUGGCUGUCAGUUGACAUACUGAUACUGUGUA